Molecule: long non-coding RNA, 1229 nt
Filed under: Callithrix jacchus (white-tufted-ear marmoset)
Lineage: Eukaryota; Metazoa; Chordata; Mammalia; Primates; Cebidae
Description: lncRNA (ENSCJAG00000066687.2)
Source: RNAcentral
AUAUAGAACUUUGUGAAACUUUUUCAACUUUCAAGUCACAGAUGUGCACUCAGGCUAAUUCAACCUUUGACAUUGCUGCUCCCUAAGCUAUAAGUCCACAAUUUCUUGUGAGCAUCUUCACAGCCUUCUCUUCUCCUAUUAUACCUUUUCUUUUGUCACCAAAGAAAUGUCUUCACUCUAGGGAAUUUAAGGACAACAGAUUUUAUCUAUUUACAGUCAUGCUUUAAGUGAUAGCAUCUAAAGUGCUAGCAUUAACAGCAUAAAACUUGUAAAAGAAAUAUAAAUAAAAAUAACAAAGAUUGAUGUUAAUAAUAAACUAAUUUCCCCUGUUAUUACUACAUCCCUUUCUCCCAAACUCUAUAUUCACAUACACAAGAUACUUUUAUUCUUUUAAAAAUUCUUUUCUUGCAUUUUUUAUUAUAUUUUUUGAUUUGUUUUGUUGCUAAAAAGAAAGAAAACGAUACAUACAACAUGGGGAGCCUUUCUGUGUUGUUCUGAUGAAAUGUUAUAAAUCUGUAAACUUUUCUACUUUGUAUGUGGCAAAUGAUAAAUCUCAAGGAACCAAGCAUCUGGCUGGCACCAUGAGCAGAGCAGGGAAAUGCAGGAUCUCUGCAGUCUGGGCAGUCUGGAAGAGGGAGCUGCCAUGUUGUAAGCUGUCCUGUGAAGAGGGCCACAGGGCAAGAAACUCAUGCAACCAACAGCUAUUGAGGAGCUGAGGCUUGUUAGCAGCCAUGUAAGUGAAUUUGAAAGUAGAUUAAAAUGACUGUAGGCCUGACCUUCACCUUAUUUGCAGCACUAUGAGAAACCCUGAUGAAAGGAUUCACCUAAGCUGUACUGAACUCUUGACACUUAGAAACUGUGAGUAAUAAGUAGUUAUUGCUUUUAGUUGCUAAUGUUAGGCCAAUUUGUUAUGUAGCAGGAAUCUCUUAAGACACCAUGUAAUACAUUUAUGGUCUUUUUUCUAUUGAAUUGUAUGUAACCUUAUCAUUGAAUCAUUAAUUCCACUCAUUUAUUGCUAUAGACUUGCUGUAGCUCAUAUGUAAUAGAGUGUUUCCCCCUGCUUCACCUUUUUAUUUUAAAGUCAACUUUGGUAUUUGUUAAUUUUCUUCUUCAUACUUUUUAUGGUAAGUUCACUGAAUUUUUGAAAUAUAGUUAGAAUUUGAUUGAAUUUGCAUCGUUUAUUGACAAAUAUGCAGAAUUUAUAACUUUAUUUCACUAUAAUCUCAUUC